UACAGAGGAUGCAAGCGUUAUCCGGAAUGAUUGGGCGUAAAGCGUCUGUAGGUGGCUUUUUAAGUCCGCCGUCAAAUCCCAGGGCUCAACUCUGGACAGGCGGUGGAAACUACCAAGCUGGAGUACGGUAGGGGCAGAGGGAAUUGCCGGUGUAGUGGUGAAAUGCGUAGAGAUCGGCAGGAACACCCAGGGGGAAACCAGUCGACUGGGCAUCUACUGACGCUGAGGUGCGAGAGCGUGGGGAGCGAACCGG
RNAcentral lists this ribosomal RNA (253 nucleotides) under uncultured bacterium. RNAcentral describes it as "partial 16S ribosomal RNA". It matches the Rfam family "Bacterial small subunit ribosomal RNA", at positions 524 to 776 of the family's 1533-position model. The record is from RNAcentral.